UUUUAUGUUUAGGGACUUGCUAGCAUCUUUUUUAUCAAAAUUAUUUCCUUGAUUGGCAUGUUUUAUGUUCUUCUCCUUGUUUCUGGAUUGAGAUGGUGGAGUGGCCUCAACAUUCUUUCCUUGGUUUCCAUCAUUUACGUUCUUUUCCUUGUUUCUAGAUAAAGAUCGUGGAGUUGCCUCAACAUUCUUUCCUGGGUUGCCAUUUUUUAUGUUCUUCCCCUUGUUUCUGGAUUGAGAUCGUGGAGUGGCCUCAACAUUAUCUCCUUGGUUGACAUCUUGUAUGUUCUUCUCCAUGUUUCUGGAUUGAGACUGUGGAGUGGCCUCAGCUUCUUUCAUUUGUGCAGAGUUUAAGUUGAAUUUUUUUGCAAGCAUACCUUUAGCCUUUAGUACCUUCGGG
Molecule: unclassified non-coding RNA, 397 nt
Filed under: Hevea brasiliensis (rubber tree)
Lineage: Eukaryota; Viridiplantae; Streptophyta; Magnoliopsida; Malpighiales; Euphorbiaceae
Source: RNAcentral